GCAAGGGGCAAGGCUUGGCUCUGCACGGCCAGAGGCACGUCCCCGCUCAUGUGGCCACCUUCCCUGCGCUGCUGUCCUCUUCCGUGACACUCGGCCGCUCUCCGAGAGCUCUGCUUCACUGGCAAAUCUGAGCUUUCAAGUCAAUAGGGGGGAACAGACCACGAGCCACACGUACACACAGCAUACCUCCUUGGCUCCUUCCCUUAGGAAAGCCAGCUAAAAGCACUAAAGGAAAAGGGCAGCUGGCCUAUUCUUGAUAUGCUUCCCAUAUCAAUUUUUCAUUAUCUGAUGGUCCAUUCCUAUUUAUUACGAAGUUAUUGCUGCUAUUAUUUUGCUAUUAUUUACCUACAGGAGUAACAGUCACAAGCAAGAGCCUCCGUGCAGUACCCAGCAGUGAGAAGACAAAGAUUACGCCUCCCUCCAAGAGUUCACCAUCCAGCCUUCCUUGUGUUCGAGAGACUUGGACAGAUCUUGGAGCUUUUUUCCUUUAUUAGCUUUUUUCCUUUACUAGCUCAAGCACAUAGUUGGGUCUUCUAUGAAUGAUAAACAUCCCUAUCCCAUUUUCCUCUCUUCCUCUCUGCAAAUAAUCCAUGGUAGUUGUUUUUCAGCUAGGGGAUUUUAUGUGAGAAAAAUUACAAAUACAUUUCUGACUGGAGGAAGAAAAAGACUUAAAAGAGUGAUAGUAAUUAAUAAUUGGUUUAAGAACUGCAUUGGAAAGUGGGAGAACUCUAAUUAUAGCAACUGGCAUGGAGAACAGGAGAAAAGGUGAAAUCAUAGAUUAAAUUUAAAUGGCAAGAACAAUCUGGGAGGAGAAGGAGAACAUGAGGACCAGGUGCAUCAAAUCACCGAAAUCCCAGAACAGCCUCUCCCUAACCAAACUAUUCCUGUUCCCUCAAUGGAUCCCAGUGCUGCCUAUUUAUUUAAUUAUUUGGUGUUUUGCCUCAUUUGUCAGAAAGCCUCACUCCUGGAAGUUUUUUUUCUAGAAGAUCUCUACUUGGAAAGAGGUAGGGAAAAUACAAAGAAAUAAUGAAUAACUGGAUAUAUAGGUGAAAAUGGAGCAAAAAAGCCUGAGUGAUUAUGACUAGUGAUACUUAAAGACCAUGUUUUGAACUUGCUUGUGUGAUCUGGAUGCCUACUGAAAUUCCCAUAAUUUGUACCCACUUUCUGUAGCUGACUUUGAAAAUCUCAGUCCGCGGUAGCAUUUCGUGCCUGAGGCAGCGUGUCCUCACACCGCAGCAGCCUUGGCUCGUGGCUGUUGUCGUGAGCAAUAUCAAGGCACUUUGCAAACAGGGAAACAAAUUCCAUCCUCGUUUCUGUGGACAGGCUGGGUGAAGAACAAGUGACUGGGGUAAUCCGCACGACGCUAUUCGUGACAAGUGUCAGAACCAGAGUCAGGAAAAAGGGAUCACAAAUCUCCUUAUGUGGCCCUUGGUCUGCGCCCCACUGUCGACAAAUGCUACAAAUUAAAGGUGAAGGGAAUCUUGCAAUUGAAUUCAGCAGGAACAGCCCUAGACUUUUACUACGGAUUCAGUGAAACCAGGCAGAGGUUAUUCUCCAAAAAGCACCAAGUGCUGUCAGCACGAGGUUCCUGUGCUCUGCGGGGCUCUGUCCCAGAACUGGGACAGACUUAGAGGCUGUUUAAGUGGAGGGGGGUUGCUGCUUUGGCUUCACUGGGUUGCUCUUCCGUGCAUUAAAAGGACUGCUGCAUAAACAAGAUGUAUAUGGAGAUCAUGGAAGUGAUGAACAAAAGACAGGAUAUUAUAGACCAGCUUCUCUACUGAAAUGUAGUGUGAACUCAGCUUUUUCUCAUGAAUGAACAAUGAAGUGGCCAUGUUUUAUUAGCUUUACUUAAAAAUGUCUAUGAGUUGAACAACCUUUUGAGUCUUUUAACACUUCUGCAAUUUGCAGCAGCAAUGAUUUCUUUUCUUUUUUUGUUCUUUUCAAGAUACAGUAGCUAAUCUGAUCUUGGUGUUUCAGUAAUUGUCUCAGUUAAUGUGUAUGGAGAAUAGUUCCAUUCUGUGAAAUGAAUAUGAGGUGAAUAUUUAACUCAUACAAGUUUGCUACGUGAAGAACUUAUGGGACAGGCACAUGCAUUAAUUGCUAAGCUGUUAAUUUAUGAAGCUUAUAAUUUUUUUCUUAGCUUUGUUUAUCCAUUACCAAUUUCUGUAGUGAGAUUUGACAGUGGGGAACCUUGAAGUCAGGAGGAGUCCAUCAGGUCACAAGGGACUUCAUGCGUAUGUUAAGUUUCAUGUUAGUAUACCAAUGUAGGACUGGCAGCUGUACCAAAAGAUACGCUGUUCUGCCACUGCUGACACUGUAUGAGCCCAAAGGCUUCUUUUGUUAAAAAGGAUAGCACAUUCACUAAUGAUAUUGAUAUGUUUUUAAUUACCCUUAGGGGUUUUACCCAGCUUGGACUAUACCUUGGACUAAGCCCCGUGCCACAAUGGGAGCUUUGCCUGCAGGAUGAACAUAACACUCGGUGCAGGCAAAAAUGAUUUCUGAGAGAAUGAUGCUCCAAGCUGACCAGUGCUGACUCACGUCACUUACCUGCAGUGCCACUUGUUUUGGCACUGUUGCAGCCCUGACUUCUGGGCUCAGAAUAGAAUUUGAAACAGCCUCUCAAAACUGGUUAGAAUUGUUAUUUAAAGCCAAACAGUGUUAGAAUUUUAUUGUUAAUAUCGGGGGGAAUGUUACUUGCAAGGUUGUGCUUUGAUUUUUCUUCAUCUCCUGAAGCAACACGCUCACGGAAGAAUUCAUAGCCCUCUCAAAUUACACAUUACAACGAUGACUUAUUCCGCAAUCCAUUUUGAGCAUAGCUGAAAAGUGUAUUUAAUAUUGCUGUUGUUGUUUCUAUCUUUUUCUGUAUAAAGUUAGUGCUUGAUUUUAUGUGUCAUCCUCAGCUAGAAUAUAUUUGCAUAGCUCUGUUGACAUCAGUAGUGCUAUAUUGAUUUGUACUGCUUCUGUCUGCCUCAUUAUUAUUUUUAUUUUUUGUUCAAGGAGCUGGGUGUAUUUUCAAAUUCACAGAAGAUAAAAAGGGAUUGCCUUCUCAGAACCAAAUACAUACAGUGUGUGCUGAUGGGAUAUUUCAGAUUGGGGCAAGUAAACAGAGGAAGUCCUGAUGUCCAGUACCCUACCCAGCCUGGAAAGGCCUAUUGUCUUCCCGGAUUUCUUCACAGGCCUCCCUGGCCUUACAGCUUUGUAAUCAAUAUUAUUGCAACUCUGAAAGUUCUCAUUAUUCUUGGCCUCGGAGCUGCCUCAUGGCAGUGAGUUCCACAGAUUGGUUGAGUUCAUUAAUUUGUGAAAGGUAUGACUUUUUGUUCUCUAUAUAUUUCUCUUGAUGUCAUUCUGGAAACCUGUUUUCCACUGGGUUUUAACCAACCUUACUUUCAGUACUCAUCAUUAUUCUUCAACUGUUUCUUCUUUUAAAGGUCAUGGGUUUAUACUAUUCCUUGCUGGCUUACUUUGGCUGCUCCUUCCCCCUUAACUGUUUCUGUUCCAAACCUCCUUCUAGAAUAACAUUUCUAAAACAACUACUCCAGGCCCUACCUAUCACUAGUCUUCUCUUAUAGAUGUCUAAAUUACAUUGCUUAUACUAAAACUGUUUUAUUUUUACAGAACUGUUUUAAAAUCUUCUCCCAUCCACAAAAUCACCUUGGCUUUUCUUUUUUUAUUGGAAUUUUGGAUCUUAUUUGCUAUUUUUAUAAAUGUACUGUACAAGCAGGGCCAAAACAAUUACAAAAAAGUAUUUUUUCCCAUUUCCCUUGUUUUUGCAUUCUCAGCUCAAACUCCUUCUAAAAUAAAACUUAUGGUCUACAAGACAAAAGUUCAGAUCUACUUUAACUUGUAACGACCCAUCCCCUAAAAAGAGGCUAUCCCUAGAAAGCACUGCUGCCUUCACUGAGUAUCUUAUAUGGCCUAAAGUUUUAAAAACACCAUCUUAAAAAGUUAACCCCCAAAUAUAUUGCAAAUUACUCCUGUUAGAAGCAAGGUUCUUGCCAUUUCCUCACGCAAUGAAUUACUUCCCAAUUUUCAAGUUAUUUCACAAUAUCCUUUUCAGAUAGGCAUGCCAGAGGCCAGUGCUAAUAACCCCCUUUUACCAUUGUUAAUACAAUUGCAAAUUUUAUUUUGUUCUAAUCCAUAAUGAUGAUAUGGAAAUUUUAAUUGUUGCUUUUUGUCUGUAUGAACCUUUAUUUCUCCAUUACUUAGGAACAGGAAGACCACAAAGCUUUUCGUCUCAGUAGAUUACAUAUCUGUUAGCACAUGCUCAACAAGAACCCCUUCUGUGGGUGUUAGGCUUUAUAAGCUAAGAGUAUCCACUUGAGUAGCCUAAGCAGUAACCUCACCAACUCAGCAAGUCGCUAGCGCACACUCGUGCCUACAAAACAACAAAAAAAGCUAUUUUCUCAUCCCAAGUGCCAGGCAAGAUGUAUUUCUAGAGGAAAAGCUAACAGGCAGCCUAAGAACAAAUGUGCAUGGAGGUCUGCGGUAUCCUUCCUAGUAAGAUCACUUGAAAUUCUCAGCUGGAGGUAAGAACACCCUGGAGAGAGAACUUCCCGAGCGCAUGUCUGAGGUUUUGUAUAACUGUAGGGUCUACCUGCUCUCCCUCCCAAAUCAAUUAAGGUUGAUAGAAAUGCUCCUGUUGAUGCUGAAUCAGUUCCCAGAGAAGGGACAAUUUGGCUGUAUUGUACCUGAGAAGGUGACAAGUGAUUUCUAAUGCUCGAUAUAAAUACUACCCAGAAGAAAAAUGUCUUGCAGUAGAGGAUGAGUUAGAUGGAUGGCUUUUAAUCUUAUUUUUUCAGUAGAUGGGCAAAUCUAGGGAUUUGUUUCUAUAAAGAAUGUAAAAUAAAUCAUGUAUCAUUUCUGUUUUCCACAUACAUGCAUUCAACAAGAGAACAGACUGAGCAGACUUUCAGCCAUGCAAUGAAUGUCUGCAAAAACAUACCCGACUACAGGUCUCUUAAGUCACUUUAAUGGUGAUGGAUGUGCAGGAAACUAUAAUCAAUUACAUUGCCCUGAAAAUUGCAUAGUUAUUUUCCAAAAAACCCAACAGUUGUUUCAUACAGUACAGCUUAAUAUUUCUCACAAGACAGAGACCUUGUAAUAUUUGAGCUUUUCCGUAUGCACAAAUUGUAUCACUUUAACAACACCUGUACAGUUUCUUAUGUACAGUCAGAUUACAUAGGUCUGGAUACAGCUAUAAGUGAGAAAGAAGAAUCUGAAGAAAGAUAGAGAAUUGUAUUUGGUAAACAACAAAAGAUUUUAAUAGGGAGAUCUAAGGUCGGAUCUAGGAUGUGAUGUUCUCUAGCUCAAUAUUUAAGAAUCGUUAAAAACUAGCCAUGUACAUCUACAAUGAGCAGUGUGGCCUUCUGUACGAUAUGUGAUCUUCCACUAUCAGAUUACCAGCGGCUUUGUACUUCUUUCUUUUGGUUCAAACCCAUAUGCUCCAGCUUAAAAAUCACUGUAUUGCAUCCAGAUUUUGUGUGGAGAGAGGUGGCAAAGAUGUCAUGUUCCUUCUGGAAAGUGAAGGUAUACUCGAUUCUUGGUAUUUCAUGUAAUCACUUAUACUCUUAGAAAAUAGAUUAAAAAUAUUACUUGACCGGAGUGGCCUAAGUGUUAGGGUACAGAGUAAACAACAUAUUAUGCAAUCAAGUGGAGAACCAUCCCUUGUGAGUUCAAGCAGUCUAGAGGGAGACUGUUGUAAAAACACACCAUGAAGAACAUAGCCUGUGUUCCAAAACAUGUUGUAGCCCUUCUUGAUAUCGCAGUAAAGAAAUGAUUAGCAGUUACAGCAGGCAGUAAGAGGCAAACCUUGUAUUCCAAGAUAAGGUUCUUCUAGAGAUGGCCUAUUAAGUGAUUUCCCUUUCUCUCUUCCCCCUUCCAGCCCUUCCUCCCUGCAAAUAUUUCAAACUGUGCAAGAGCCUGCUCAGCUGGCAGACAGAAGAGAACCAGUGCUGCUCCUCCAGAGCCCUUUGUACUUCUCUGCCCCAGGUUUGCUUCUCUUCCUCACCUCUGCUGCUGUUUAUCCCUUGCUCCUCUUUUCCACCCUUCUUCCUUCCCAGGAAAUCUCCUAAUCCUAACAGGUCUCUGUUUCUAAAGUUUCCCCCUUAAACCAGAGUGUGCAGCCACACACGUGCUUUUCCUUCUGCACCCGCUCCCCCAGCCACUGCUCCUGGACCAGGGACAGAGAAGCACCAGGUGGGAAGGGUGACAAUAAGAACAAGCUCAGGAAGUAAAUGUGUUAGUUCUGCAAUCCUUUUUGGUCCUGAAGAGAUGCGGACGAUAUGCCCUAACGUGGCCCCUCCACGCAGCAGAGACGGGAAACCUGCAGAGCGCAGAUGGAGAGAGGAAAGCAGGAAGAGAGGAAGAGGAAGGCAAAUGGAUGCACACCAAAUGGGAAGAGCUGUGUACGGGAAGGGCAAGGGUAGCCAAGUCCACUCUUGAGUAGCUGAAAAAUAAAGCAGAAAGUCCCUGUG
Long non-coding RNA from Dromaius novaehollandiae (emu), 6473 nucleotides. RefSeq lists it as uncharacterized. Lineage: Eukaryota; Metazoa; Chordata; Aves; Casuariiformes; Dromaiidae. The record is from RefSeq and is a predicted model, not a curated record. The transcript is spliced from 3 exons.